RNAcentral lists this ribosomal RNA (1343 nucleotides) under uncultured bacterium. Its description in RNAcentral is "16S ribosomal RNA". It matches the Rfam family "Bacterial small subunit ribosomal RNA", at positions 28 to 1378 of the family's 1533-position model. The record is from RNAcentral.
GACGAACGCUGGCGGCGUGCUUAACACAUGCAAGUCGAACGGAAAGGCCCUGCUUUUGUGGGGUGCUCGAGUGGCGAACGGGUGAGUAACACGUGAGUAACCUGCCCUUGACUUUGGGAUAACUUCAGGAAACUGGGGCUAAUACCGGAUAGGAGCUCCUGCUGCAUGGUGGGGGUUGGAAAGUUUCGGCGGUUGGGGAUGGACUCGCGGCUUAUCAGCUUGUUGGUGGGGUAGUGGCUUACCAAGGCUUUGACGGGUAGCCGGCCUGAGAGGGUGACCGGCCACAUUGGGACUGAGAUACGGCCCAGACUCCUACGGGAGGCAGCAGUGGGGAAUAUUGCACAAUGGGCGGAAGCCUGAUGCAGCAACGCCGCGUGCGGGAUGACGGCCUUCGGGUUGUAAACCGCUUUCGCCUGUGACGAAGCGUGAGUGACGGUAAUGGGUAAAGAAGCACCGGCUAACUACGUGCCAGCAGCCGCGGUGAUACGUAGGGUGCGAGCGUUGUCCGGAUUUAUUGGGCGUAAAGGGCUCGUAGGUGGUUGAUCGCGUCGGAAGUGUAAUCUUGGGGCUUAACCCUGAGCGUGCUUUCGAUACGGGUUGACUUGAGGAAGGUAGGGGAGAAUGGAAUUCCUGGUGGAGCGGUGGAAUGCGCAGAUAUCAGGAGGAACACCAGUGGCGAAGGCGGUUCUCUGGGCCUUUCCUGACGCUGAGGAGCGAAAGCGUGGGGAGCGAACAGGCUUAGAUACUCUGGUAGUCCACGCUGUAAACGGUGGGUACUAGGUGUGGGGUCCAUUCCACGGGUUCCGUGCCGUAGCUAACGCUUUAAGUACCCCGCCUGGGGAGUACGGCCGCAAGGCUAAAACUCAAAGGAAUUGACGGGGCCCCGCACAAGCGGCGGAGCAUGCGGAUUAAUUCGAUGCAACGCGUAGAACCUUACCUGGGUUUGACAUGGAUCGGGAGCGCUCAGAGAUGGGUGUGCCUCUUUUGGGGUCGGUUCACAGGUGGUGCAUGGCUGUCGUCAGCUCGUGUCGUGAGAUGUUGGGUUAAGUCCCGCAACGAGCGCAACCCUUGUUCACUGUUGCCAGCACGUUAUGGUGGGGACUCAGUGGAGACCGCCGGGGUCAACUCGGAGGAAGGUGGGGAUGACGUCAAGUCAUCAUGCCCCUUAUGCCCAGGGCUUCACGCAUGCUACAAUGGCUGGUACAGAGAGUGGCGAGCCUGUGAGGGUGAGCGAAUCUCGGAAAGCCGGUCUCAGUUCGGAUUGGGGUCUGCAACUCGACCUCAUGAAGUCGGAGUCGCUAGUAAUCGCAGAUCAGCAACGCUGCGGGGAAUACGUUCCCGGG